UCCCCCAUCCUUACCCCGCUCUCCCGGAGGUCCAGGUCCGGGGGGUGACAGUGGAUCACGAGUAGCCAAGGAGAGACUACUUGGGCCUUCAAAGGCCUGCUCACACCGCACUACUCACCGUGUGAGGCCGAGAGCGCCGAGAGCAGGAGGCGGCCAGCGGGUAAGCGGACCGGCGGAAACGCGAAAGAGGAGAAGCCAAAGGCCUAGGUCAGAAAGGGGGAACCGAGGGAAGGCGGGUCCGGCAACCGAGACCGGGAUCGUCUCCCCCCUCCGCAAAGCGAACCCAAAA
Molecule: long non-coding RNA, 289 nt
Filed under: Rattus norvegicus (Norway rat)
Lineage: Eukaryota; Metazoa; Chordata; Mammalia; Rodentia; Muridae
Description: long non-coding RNA NONRATT016583
Source: RNAcentral